GACGAACGCUGGCGGCGUGCUUAACACAUGCAAGUCGAACGGAAAGGCCCUGCUUUUGUGGGGUGCUCGAGUGGCGAACGGGUGAGUAACACGUGAGUAACCUGCCCUUGACUUUGGGAUAACUUCAGGAAACUGGGGCUAAUACCGGAUAGGAGCUCCUGCUGCAUGGUGGGGGUUGGAAAGUUUCGGCGGUUGGGGAUGGACUCGCGGCUUAUCAGCUUGUUGGUGGGGUAGUGGCUUACCAAGGCUUUGACGGGUAGCCGGCCUGAGAGGGUGACCGGCGACACUGGGACUGAGAGACGGCCCAGACGCCGAAGGGAGGCAGCAGGGGGGAAUAUUGAACAAGGGGCGGAAGCCGGAUGCAGCAACGCCGCGUGCGGGAUGACGGCCUUCGGGUUGUAAACCGAUUUCGCCUGUGACGAAGCGUGAGUGACGGGAAUGGGUAAAGAAGCACCGGCUAACUACGUGC
Molecule: ribosomal RNA, 469 nt
Filed under: uncultured bacterium
Lineage: Bacteria
Description: partial 16S ribosomal RNA
Rfam family: Bacterial small subunit ribosomal RNA
Source: RNAcentral